This 253-nucleotide ribosomal RNA is filed under the name uncultured bacterium. RNAcentral's name for it is "partial 16S ribosomal RNA". It matches the Rfam family "Bacterial small subunit ribosomal RNA", at positions 524 to 776 of the family's 1533-position model. The record is from RNAcentral.
GACGAGGGGUCCAAGCGUUGUUCGGAAUCAUUGGGCGUAAAGCGGGUGUAGGCGGCUUUGUAAGUCAGGCGUGAAAUCCCCAAGCUUAACUUGGGAAGUGCUUUUGAUACUGCAAAGCUUGAAUGUGGGAGAGGAUGGUGGAAUUCCAGGUGUAGUGGUGAAAUACGUAGAUAUCUGGAGGAACGCCGGUGGCGAAGGCGGCCAUCUGGCCCAACAUUGACGCUGAGACCCGAAAGCGUGGGGAUCAAACAGG